CACACACAAAAAAUCAGAUGUUUAUACAAAUAACUCUAAGUUCUAAUAAUCAGGAAUACAGUUAUUUAUAGCAAUUACAAGGUUUCCACUCCUAAGUAGCAAGAGAUUUUGCUGUAUUUUACACUUCAGUUUUUGCUCCAUAAAAAUAAAACUUACAUAUUUGCGCACUUAAAAUAUAAAUGUACAUAUAUACAUCUAUAUUAAAUAUUUUUAAAAUAAAUGUAACUUUCACUUGUAAAGUCAUUAAAUGCUGACAUUUUAAAAAAUCAAACACUUUAAUAUAUUACUAUAUCAAUAAUUUCUUCACUCACAUUAAGUAUGUGUCUGUGUCUCUCUCUCAUGUUCAUACACACACACAGCUGGAAGUGAUAUUCAGAAAUCCUUAUCUGAUGCCUCCCAAACUAAUAUCUCCAACCUGGGCUACUCCUCUAGGCUUUUUUAUCCAAUGCCUACACCUACAUGUCUAAGACAAAUUUUAAUUUAGUAAGUUCAACUCAAACUCAAGAUCUUCACCCCCAAUUAUAUUUUCUACCUUAGAAACUGACAAUUCUAUCCUUCCAGUGGCUCAGGCCAAAUGCGCUGAAGUCAUCCCUGACUCCUUCCUUUCUCUCACACUUUAUAUCUAAUCAAUGGGCAAAUUAUGUUGGCUCUACCUUCAAAAUGUAGCCAGAAACCAACCAGUUUUCACCACCUUCACAGCUAUCACCCUAUUCCAAACCAGCACCAUCUCCUGCCUAGAAAUGCAAUAUGCAAUGGCCUCCUGAUCUACUUCCACCUUUAGCGUCCCACCCCUCAAAAUGUUUCCUUCACAUAGCGGCUGGUGGUUCUUUUAAAACUAAGUUGGAGCAUUUCAUUCCUUUUCUGAAAACUCUACAAUAGCUUUCCAUCUCAGAAUAAAAUCCAAAUUCCUAACAUGGUCAUCACAGCCUUGUAUGAUCUUGCCCCUUGCUGCUGUUCUGAUACCAUGGCCUACCAUUCAGGUCUUCACUAACUCCAUUCCAGCCCCUAUUUCCCCAAAAUGCCAAGCAGACUCAGGCAUUUUACAUUUACUGUCGCCUCUUUCUGGUAUACUCUUUUCCUAGCUAUGCAUGCACAUGGCUUAUUCCUUCAUGUUAUUUAGGUUCCUGCCCAUAUGUCACCUCCUUAGAGCUUUCCCUGAAUAUCACUAAAUAGCACUGCCCAGCCCCACUACAUCUCCUUACUCAGCACCUAUCACUGAUACAUUAUAUAUCUCUUUGUGUCUCAUCCCACUAGAAUGCAAGAUCCAUGAUACAGCUUUUGUUUUCUUCACUGCUCUAUCCCUAGAGCCAACAUUUCCUACUCAAAUGAAAUGAAAUUACUUGGGAGAAAGAAUAGACAAAAAGCAGGCAAAGGACUUAGACCAAAGGACUUCUCACUUUGCUCCCGGCUCUGAGAUUCCUUACUCCUUUUCUCAAGAGAGUGAAGAGACUCAAAAGCACAUGACAAUUUUUUAUAGGCAGAGGUAAAGAAUUUAUAUUUCCUAAGAAGAGAAUAAAGAAUAAAAUGCUGGAACAAAGUAAAAAGGAUAAUAUGCGCCAACUGCGGAAUACACGCUAGUGGCAACAAGAGGUGUCGUUAUUUUUUGUGUAUUGGGGGAAAGUGUGUAUUUUGAUGUGUAUUGGGGAAAAAUGACUAGCAUACUAAGCUCAUGAUUUAAUGAUAAUUACAUAGUACAAAAUUAUACUUUUAAAAAAUAUAAAAACAUGAAAUAAAUACUACUACAGGCAGUAUUCACAUGGAGGAAAAAACUCAUAUUGGUGUAUAAAUUAAGUGAAGUUUUAAGCAACGCUGCUCCAGAAAAACAGCUCUUAAUUUGAGGCCCAUGGCCUCUGACUUUGAGCAUCUGAACUCCAGUGUAUCAUAUGCAAAAUGUAUGUGAACGAGCACAUGGGCAUUGUUCUGGGAAAAACAAAAAUCAGUCCAGAGUUUUCACCAGAUUCUCAAAAAGGGUUAAAAACUAUUGCUCCAAAACUUUACAAUCUAAUAUGUCAUCAAAUAUCACUAUGAAUAAAAAAGUACUUAUUUGAAAA
Molecule: long non-coding RNA, 2051 nt
Organism: Physeter macrocephalus (sperm whale)
Lineage: Eukaryota; Metazoa; Chordata; Mammalia; Artiodactyla; Physeteridae
Exons: 2
Source: RefSeq, a predicted model, not a curated record